This 7635-nucleotide long non-coding RNA is filed under the name Lactuca sativa (garden lettuce). RNAcentral's name for it is "long non-coding RNA (LSAT_LNC003273)". The record is from RNAcentral. Lineage: Eukaryota; Viridiplantae; Streptophyta; Magnoliopsida; Asterales; Asteraceae.
GAUCUAGGCUUUCUAAUUAAACAUGCUUUGAAUCCAAGACUUCUAACAACUAAUUAGGUAUAAAACAAUACAAAAUCAGAUCUAGAAGUUUACCUUUGAAUCUCUUGUUUUGAUCUUGUUGUCUUGGAGCUCUAGAGUCACAAUUGUCACUCCUCUAAUGGCUUACAAACACCAAAUAGCAAAGAAGAUGAUUUGAGAGAGAGGGGGUAGGAGGAAAUCGGCCAGGGGUUCUCUACUUUAGAUGAGAUGCCGAUUUCCCUUGGCCAUAGGGUCUAUUUAUACUUGUAGACUCCUUAAGGGUUUCACCUUAAACCCUAAUUGGAUAAUCUUUCCUUAAAGCAAUCCAAAUCCUUACCAUAGAUAAGCCUUGGACGAUUUGGAGCUAUCCCAAGCUCUAGAAUCCGUCCAAUCCCUAUCCCUUAAGGAUUUACAGUCUAAAGUGUAACUAUCAAACAAUUGACAGUUUAUACCCUCUUAUUUAAUUAAUCUCUUUAAGUCACCAAAUUAAUACUAAUUAAUUUAUGACUUAUAUUAAUCAAAUAACAAUAUUAUUAUUCCUUAUAUUAUUCUCAUAAUAUAUUAAUAAUAUUUAUUCUCUCAUAAUAAAUCAUCCUAUCAAGUUGCUAUGGUGAAGGCAACCCAAAAGGACCAUGCACAAUCGGGUCAAAUACUUGCCUAAUAUAGUUGCAGCCUUAGACACUAUUCCAACAGUCUCCCACUUGGAUAAGUCUAGUAACUAUAUGCACAAGUACAAUUCGAUUUGCAAUCGUAGCUCUCAAAGACGCUGUCAAACUCUGAUCUAAUCAAUCUUGUCCUUUAGAUAAGGGAUCGUACAGUCCUCUGUUAGAUAUCAUGCUGACAAUUCUAUGGAAUGAUUAGUCAAGCAUUUAGGUUUCUCGAUCUCUGAUUUAUUUGACAUAGAACUUAAUCGAACACAUCAAUUCAGUUCUGACCGGGCCCGGCACAUAAGUCAAAUCAAAUCAUCGAGCGGCCGAGAUAUCGCUUUUACCUUCUUAGGAUAAAAGUUACAGAUAAACUUCGACUUAUAUGCAUUUACUUAUUCAUUAAUCAACUAUACACAACAAUGCGUUUUAUAACACCGAGUUACUGAUGCGUUUUCGCAUUAUCAAUGUACAAUCAAUUAACAAAUAACAAACCAUAUAUCUAGGUUUUAAGACUAUAUGAUAUUAUCGUCUUGCGAUCACCCUUUUAUAUCAUAUUCCAUAAGGUGAUUCCAGCAAGCGCGGGUUUGUUCCAAUGCUCAAAACUAGUUCAUAAGCACUCAUGAACGUUGCAGCAAUCCUUUGCUAUGUCUAACACCAUUUAGACAAUCUACACACCAAUUCAUGACAAUCUUCAUUCAUAUCUACUUCCAACAUAUGAACGAUUGUGGACAAUUUGAAUAAUUCGAUUAUUCUUAAUAAACUCAAUUAUUCUGGAAGUCAAAACAUGCAAAGUGAAACAAUAGUUAAACAAUUAACAUAAGACAGUAACAUUACUCAUAAAUAAAACUCCUUUAUUUAAUCAUCAAAUGUUAAUUACAUUUAUCUAUUACACGUUUCUAAUACUAUCUAAUCUAUGCUAAUAUCAUCCUUCAGCCCAAUACUCCUAGCAUGCUGCAAGUGCUUAACCCUACUCAGUCCCUUCGUAAGCGGAUCUGCUGGGUUAUCUUCUGAUGAUAUCCUCUUCACUACGAGUUGUCCUUCUUCUACACGAUGUCUAAUGAAGUGAUACUUUCUGUCGAUAUGUCUUGAUCUACCAUGAUCCCUCGGUUCCUUGGUCAAGGCAACCGCUCCUUCGUUAUCACAGAAAAUCUCCAUGGGCUCCUUUAUGGCAGGUACAACUCCAAGAUCACCGAUGAAGUUCUUUAGCCAUAUUGCCUCCUUCGACGCUUCGCUCGCUGCAAUGUACUCUGAUUCGCACGUUGAAUCAGCUACGGUCUCCUGCUUGGAACUCUUCCAUGUCACUGCUCCUCCAUUUAGGGUAAAGACCCAGCCCGACUGCGAACGGUAGUUGUCCCUGUCGGUCUGAAAACUGGCGUCACUAUACCCUCGCACCUUCAAGUCAUCACUCCCUCCGAGGACUAAGAACCAUUCCUUCGUCCUCCGAAGGUACUUAAGGAUAUUCUUCACCGCAAUCCAAUGUGCUCUGCCAGGAUUCCCUUGAUAUCUGCUAACCAUGCUCAAAGCGAAGGCUACAUCAGGGCGAGUACAAGUCAUAGCGUACAUGAUUGAGCCAACUGCGGAAGCGUAUGGUACUCGGCUCAUUUCUGCUAUCUCAGCUUCGGUACUCGGACUUUGAGUCUUACUCAAUUUGGCAUUACUUUGUAUCGGUAGUUCUCCCUUCUUUGAGUUUUCCAUACUAAAACGUUUUAGUACCUUCUCUAAGUAAGUAUUCUGACUAAGUCCAAUUAGUCUCUUACUUCUUUCUCUUACUAUCCUUAUUCCCAAAAUGUAAGAAGCCUCUCCGAGGUCCUUCAUAGCGAAGCACUUCCCGAGCCAGGACUUAACCUCCUGCAGAGUCGGGAUGUCGUUUCCUAUGAGUAAUAUGUCAUCGACAUAUAGAACGAGGAAGCUUACUAUACUCCCACUGGCUUUGACAUAUACACAUGAUUCAUCUUCGCUUCGUACAAAUCCAAACUCUUUGACUUUCUCAUCGAAGCAAAGAUUCCAUCUGCGAGACGCUUGCUUAAGUCCAUAAAUGGACUUCUCAAGCUUACACACUCUAUUCAUAUGCUUUGGAUCCACAAACCCCUCUGGCUGAGCCAUGUAAACAUCCUCAGCCAACUUUCCGUUAAGGAAAGCGGUCCUGACUUCCAUUUGCCAAAUCUCAUAAUCAAUAAAUGCGGCAAUUGCUAGCAUCACUCUAAUAGAUUUAAUCUUCGCAACUGGUGAGAAGGUCUCAUCAUAGUCAACUCCGGGAGUUUGAGUAAAGCCCUUCGCAACCAAUCGCGCUUUAUAUGUGUGUACGUUUCCAUCCACGUCGGUCUUCUUCUUGAAGAUCCAUUUGCACCCAACGGUCUUACGUCCGGGCACAUAAUCAACCAAAUUCCAAACUUGGUUAUCAUACAUGGAUUGGAUCUCGCUAUCCAUUGCCUCUUUCCAUUUUGCAGACUCCGGGCCUGCCAUGGCUUCCUUAUAGCUAUUAGGUUCAUCAAGGUUUAUUAGUGUACCAUCACUAAUAUACGUGUCCCCUUCGGUAGUAAUAUGAAAACCAUAAAACUGGGGUAGAACUCUAACUCUAUCGGAACGUCUAAGAGGUAAGGAUUCGUCAAUCGGUUCAACCGGAGUUUCCUCCUCGGGUUGAGUGCCAGCGGUAGAGGUUCCUUCAUCUAUCGACUCUUGAAUCUCUUCAAGCUCGAUUUGCCUCCCACUGUCUCCUUGGCUUAUGAGUUCUCGCUCUCGGAAAACUCCUCUCCUCGCAACGAAGACAACAUUGUCCUUCGGUCUAUAGAAGAGAUAUCCAAAGGAUGUCUGCGGGUAGCCGAUGAAAAUACAUCGCUCACUUCGAGGUUCAAGCUUGUCGUGAGUAUCUCGUCUUACGAAAGCCUCGCAACCCCAAACCUUGAUAUGUGCCAACGAGGGAGCUUUCCCUGUCCACAUCUCGUGAGGUGUUUUGGCAACCUUCUUAGUAGGGACUCGGUUAAGGAUAUGGGCGGCAGUCUCUAAGGCAUACCCCCAAAAAGAGAUUGAUAGUGAAGCACGACUCAUCAUAGAGCGAACCAUAUCCAAUAAGGUUCGAUUACGCCUUUCUGCCACACCAUUCAACUGCGGUGUCCUAGGAGGCGUCAAUUGUGAAACUAUUCCACACUCCUUGAGAUAAUCGUGGAAUUCAAGACUUAGGUACUCUCCUCCUCGAUCGGAUCGAAGCAUCUUGAUUUUCCUGCCCAAUUGAUUCUCCACUUCAUUCUUGAACUCUUUGAACUUUUCAAAAGUUUCUGACUUUUGCUUGAUUAAAUAGAUAUACCCAUAUCUACUAUAGUCAUCGGUAAAAGUCACGUAGAAGCGGUUCCCAUCCUUCGUGGUUGAUCUAAACGGUCCACAUACAUCGGUAUGUAUUAGGUCCAAUAGACCCUCACCCCUUUCACACGUACUCGUGAAGGGUGACUUAGUCAUCUUUCCAAGUAAACAAGACUCGCACGUGUCAUCUUCCCUAAGGUCGAAUGACUCCAACACUCCAUCCUUUUGGAGUUGGGCUAUGCGCUUCUUGUUGACAUGUCCAAGACGACAAUGCCACAAGGAUGCUCUAUCCAUACUGUUGGAAGAAUCUAUGUUUAAAACAUCAUUUCCUAAGUUAUCAACUCUCAUAACAGUUUCAUAAAUUCCAUUACAUGGUAUAGCUUCAAAAUAAAAGACACCAUUUAGAUAAGCUAAAAUAGAACCAUUCUCAUUAUUAUAAGAAAAUCUUAAACCUUGUGUAAACAAACCAUGAAAUGAAAUGAUGUUUCUAGCCAUUUCUGGCGAAUAGCAACAAUUGUUCAAAUCUAAACUUAAACCAUUCCUAAGUACUAAAGAAUACACUCCAAUCUUGGUCAUUGGCGUCGAUCUUCUGUUCCCCAUGAUUAGAUUUAUUCUUCCAGCCUGCACAUCCCUACUUCUUUUUAGUCCCUACACAUUAGAACAAAUGUGGUAACCACAACCGGUAUCAAGAACCCAAGAAAUAGCAUGAGAUGAUUCGUUAGAUUUAAUUGUGUAUAUACCUGCGAAAGAUGGCUUGAUCUUUCCUUCCUUGAUGGCUUGCAGGUACUCUGGGCAGCUUCUCUUCCAAUGUCCUAUCUUGUGGCAGUGGUGGCACUCUGCCUCCUUAGGGUUAGGGCAGGGCUUAGCGGGAUCAACUUUGGUCCCACUAGAAGAGGCACCAUCUCGGGCUUUAACCUUGCGAUAGUUCUUAGACGAAGCCUUCCUCUUCUUUCCCUUUCCUUGACCAAUAGCCAAGACAGGAGCAGCGGGUGGAUUGGGAGUUGGUGCAACAGACUUGUCUUUGAAGUUGCUCUCAGCGACCCUCAAGAGACCUUGGAGUUUGCUUAGGGUGACCUCCUCUUUGUUCAUGUGGUAGGUCAUCCUAAAUUGAUUGUACAUCGGAGGCAAAGAGUGAAGCACCAUGUCGAUCGCCAAGUCUUCCCCAAAGUCAACAUUUAACUUGCGAAGGCGGUCGACAUACCUUUGCAUCUUUUGCAGGUGCACGGUAAGAGAUUCUCCAUGACCCAUCUUAGCGGAAAUCAUGUUAGUGAAAAUCUCAUAACGCUCUUGUCUCGCGUUUUGGUGGUAUCUCUCCAAUAAGUCUUGAUGCAUCUCGUACGGGUACAUGUCCUCGUAGGACUUUUGGAAUUCGGAGUUCAUGGUGGCUAUCAUGAUGCAAUGUACCUUCGUUGCAUCGCGCUCAUGAGUUUCAAAAGCGGUCAUUUCAGCCGGAGUAGCGAUUUCAGGGUUGAUUUUCUCGAGCUUCUCAUCGAGGACAUACUCCUUAUCCUCAUAGCGAGCAAUGGUGCGAAUGUAUCUUAUCCAUUCGCUAAAGUUCGUUCCAUCGAAGGUGACCUUUUGGCAAAGGCUCAUCAACGUGAAAGAACUAGCAGCAGCGUUGUUUGCGUUCGACAUCUACAAUUAAAAAAGGACAAAGAUAGAUUAGAAUAAGAAUCCCUAAUUAUCACCCAAUAAGAAAAAUUAGGGCUAGGAUCCAACAAUAACAUUUACAUAUUAGAAAAGGGAUGCCGUAAUCUAACAUGCAAAUAAAUUGAAGGUAAGUGAAUGACGAUUCACUAAUUCUCCACCAUAAAAACCUAACUAUAAGUCCUAAAUGUAUUGAGAAUUCCUAGGUUCGGAUGAGAUUCAUUGAAACUAUUCAAUGGCAUGUUUAAAUCUCGAUAUGCCCCUCUUGUUUGUGACUGGGAUACCGAGGAUCACAAAGCGGGUGUGAAUUACCAUGCAAAUUCACAUGGUGCCUUCAUUGUAACGAUCACCUAUUCGAUGUGCCGGUAAACCACACACGCUCCAUCGAACUAUGAUAAACAAUGAAUCACCCUUUGCCACCUUUGCUUAGAACCAAUUAGUGUGCCGGUAAACCACACACGCUCCACUAACUUCUUAGCAAGGGUGCAAAGUGUAAUUUCAUGGGAUUGCAUCAAUUCACUUUUCCUAAAGUAACUAAGAUUGGGAAAUUUUUAAAAAAUAUGUAGUUACUUUGUAUUUCAUAUUAUACUUUUAAUGAGAGGAUGAGGUUGCCCUAUCCUACCCGUUCGGCUAACGACCCUCCACCGAUCAAGCAAGCGGUGGGUGUGAGUGUACACCCAUUAAGCGCCAUUUUAUAGGCCGCAACCUUAUACCCACCUUAUAGAUCGGCUUCGUGAAUGAGGCCUACUAACGGUAAGACUAGCAUUUAGUUAUAUAUAUAUAUAUAUUAAUCUUGUAAUAUUAUAUUAGUAUAGGGUUGUAUUUUAAACCUUUAAAAAUCUAGGGUUUGAAAUUUAAAUUGUCUAAAUUAAAACUUUUAAUCACAAAACAUAAAUUUCAAAACUUGAGGACAAGUUUUAAACAUUUAAAACAUGGAGGAUCAAAUAACAAAUAAUUUUAAUUAACAAUUAAUUCCAUAAUUAUCCAUAUUUGAUUUAUUUAAUUAUUUCUUGCAAGAUAAUUACCAAUUUAAUCAAAAUAAUUAAUUAAUUAUCACAUAAGGAAAUUAAAUAUUUUAUUAGUUGAUAAAUAUCUUUAAUUAGAUCAAGAUUAUAGUCAUAUAUAUCAAAAAAUCGGAUUAGGGUUGAUCUAAUAUGAUAAAGGUAAGUUUCCAUAAGAUAAGUAUGAAAAAAAUCCCAAAUCUGGCCCUUCCUGACGCUCCUACUCGUCGAGUUCCCAACUGGACUCGUCGAGUCAGGCCAACUCGUCGAGUCCACCAUGGGACUCGUCAAGUUCAUGACACAGAGACACAAAAUUCGAAUUUUGCAAACAAGAUUCAAACAAACAAGCAACAAUUUAAUAGAAACCAAUCUAGGCUCUGAUACCACUGAUGGGUUUUAGCCAUAAGAACUUUCCUAUGUGCGCAUGCAAAACCCUAAUGCUUGGAUCUAGGUUUUCUAAUUAAACAUGCUUUGAAUCCAAGACUUCUAAUGACUAAUUAGGUAUAAAAAAAUACAAAAUCAGAUCUAGAAGUUUACCUUUGAAUCUCUUGUUUUGAUCUUGUUGUCUUGGAGCUCUAGAGUCACAAUUGUCACUCCUCUAAUGGCUUACAAACACCAAAUAACAAAGAAGAUGAUUUGAGAGAGAGGGGGUUGGAGGAAAUCGGCCAGGGGUUCUCUACUUUAGAUGAGAUGCCGAUUUCCCUUGGCCAUAGGGUCUAUUUAUACUUGUAGACUCCUUAAGGGUUUCACCUUAAACCCUAAUUGGAUAAUCUUUCCUUAAAGCAAUCCAAAUCCUUACCAUAGAUAAGCCUUGGACGAUUUGAGCUAUCCCAAGCUCUAGAAUCCGUCCAAUCCCUAUCCCUUAAGGAUUUACAGUCUAAAGUGUAACUAUCAAACAAUUGACAGUUUAUACCCUCUUAUUUAAUUAAUCUCUUUAAGUCACCAAAUUAAUUCUAAUUAAUUCUAUGACUUAUAUUAAUCAAAUAACAAUAUUAUUAUUCCUUAUAUUAUUCUCAUAAUAUAUUAAU